RNAcentral lists this long non-coding RNA (559 nucleotides) under Anas platyrhynchos platyrhynchos (common mallard). RNAcentral describes it as "lncRNA (ENSAPLG00000025439.1)". The record is from RNAcentral. Lineage: Eukaryota; Metazoa; Chordata; Aves; Anseriformes; Anatidae.
UCUGAGGGAAGGUGAGUGUUGCCAGCCUGGUCAUGCCUUAUCCGAAGCGAAGUGAAGACGCUCAGGUGUUUCCCUGUGAGGGUCUGAGGUGAGACUGUUUGGGAUAGAGGAGUAGCGUGGCAGGUGGGUGCUUGCAAGCACAGUGGUUCUUUUGUCCUUUUGUGUUCCCCGGUGGUGUGGAUGAUGGUGGCCGCUCCUUUCAAGCUUGGACCUAAUUUGCAGGUCCAGAGGCAAGUGGAGUGCUGUUUUGAAAGGGUUGAAAUGCAGCGUGCAGUGCGCAGUGCAGGACGUCUCGACCCGAGCUGCCUCUGCAGUGACUCUGGUGGUGUGGAUGAUACUGGCUGCACUGUUGGAGCUUGGACUCGGAGAGGAACACGUGAGCACAAUCGUAUGUUGCAUCAGCAGUAGUCAGCAUUGUGGAGAAGGUGAGCAAUGGGGCUGGCGUGCUAGUGAAUGCUGUUUCUCUGUUUUUGCAGCUGAUGAUGAGCCUUCAAUUGACUAAGAUGACAAACGGUGCCUGUGCAUUUCUUGAGGCGGAGGAACUUCACCAUGCAGCAGC